RNAcentral lists this ribosomal RNA (452 nucleotides) under Bacteroidetes bacterium BAL151. Its description in RNAcentral is "bacterial SSU rRNA". It matches the Rfam family "Bacterial small subunit ribosomal RNA", at positions 40 to 489 of the family's 1533-position model. Lineage: Bacteria; Pseudomonadati; Bacteroidota. The record is from RNAcentral. RNAcentral also lists the same sequence under 1 other name.
CGGCAGGCCUAAUACAUGCAAGUCGAACGAGAUUAAGGGGCUUGCUCCUUAUGAAAGUGGCGCACGGGUGCGUAACGCGUAUGCAACCUACCUCAAUCAGGGGGAUAGCCCGAAGAAAUUCGGAUUAACACCGCAUAAAAACACAGGAUAGCAUUAUCUAAUGUUCAAAUAUUUAUAGGAUUGAGAUGGGCAUGCGUGUCAUUAGCUAGUUGGCGGGGUAACGGCCCACCAAGGCGACGAUGACUAGGGGAUCUGAGAGGAUGACCCCCCACACUGGUACUGAGACACGGACCAGACUCCUACGGGAGGCAGCAGUAAGGAAUAUUGGUCAAUGGAGGCAACUCUGAACCAGCCAUGCCGCGUGCAGGAAGACAGCCCUCUGGGUCGUAAACUGCUUUUAUUCGGGAAUAAACCUAUUUACGUGUAGAUAGCUGAAUGUACCGAAGGAAUAA